GGAUUGUGGCUCAGUGGUAGAGUGCACACCUAGCACGUGAGAGGCCCUGGGUUCGAUCCUCAACACCA
This 68-nucleotide transfer RNA is filed under the name Marmota monax (woodchuck). RNAcentral describes it as "tRNA.Ala". The record is from RNAcentral. Lineage: Eukaryota; Metazoa; Chordata; Mammalia; Rodentia; Sciuridae.